This 953-nucleotide long non-coding RNA is filed under the name Gossypium raimondii (Peruvian cotton). Its description in RNAcentral is "long non-coding RNA (GRAI_LNC007908)". The record is from RNAcentral. Lineage: Eukaryota; Viridiplantae; Streptophyta; Magnoliopsida; Malvales; Malvaceae.
AACAAUAGAGUUAAAUGUAGUAUUCAAAUGCCCCAUAUAAAGUUGAGAAUCUAAUGAUGUUAUCAUAGACAAUUAAAAGGCUUAAAAAGUGAAACUAUUCUUUGCUUUUAAACCCCAUUAUCAUAUUGGGUAUUAAAGGCCCAUAUUCUACACCAACGUAACACGAGUGCUUAAACGGUACACUAAAACAUCAACAACUAUACAAAAAAUAAUAACAUUACAAUCAAAGAGCUGCAAAAGCAUCAUCGACCCACUUUAGUUCAUUGCUAGAACCUUUGCCAUUCUCGGUCAUUUUCGUCGAUGAUGAAGAAGAAGAUGAAGAGCCAAUGAAAGAUUGAAAUGCGGACCUGAAAUUAUUCAUACGUUUACGGUGACGAAUCCUUCUCAAAACCAUAUCUUUAUCCAAUGUUUGCUUCGAAUGGCUUGGCUUUAUGUAAAGAUGGCUAGUGAUGGCAUCUAACUGCUCUUGCUCAUCUUGGUUAUCUUCACCACAAUUGUUGCUGCUCUCGUCGUUGAUGUUGAUGAUGACGUUGUUCUUGUCUGGUUUAGUGAGUGGCAUUUUUUUUGAAGUAAAUUACAAAGAGUAUAAAAGAGAUGAUGCUUAUCGGUUUAUAGAAGUGAAUGGGGGGACAAGGCAAGGGUGAUAUUUAUAGAGGGGUAGAAAGAAAGAUUCUUGAGGAUUUUUAUAUGAUUUUGGUCGGUUUUGUGGGUUCGAGAUGGCACAGAAUCCAUAGAUUCUGAGGUGGUCGGUUGCUGAAAAUAAUAUAGUAAUUUAUGAUGUUUUUAUGUCAGAUCUGGGUUUUGAGAUGAGUUUCAUCUUGGAUACGCAUGAUAACCUUUUCCCUCCAGUUUUUAAAAAUUAUUUUAUUUCCUCAUUUAAUUUUUUUUCUUUCAAUCAUUGAAUUUAUAUUUUCGUCAAAUUAUUUCAAAAUAGAAGAAAAAGUUAAUCUUUG